This 384-nucleotide long non-coding RNA is filed under the name Homo sapiens (human). Its description in RNAcentral is "HSALNT0010173". Lineage: Eukaryota; Metazoa; Chordata; Mammalia; Primates; Hominidae. The record is from RNAcentral.
GAAAGAGGUUGGUAUCUAGGAAGAGAAAGAGGGGUGAACAAGGAGGAGGAGAAGGUGAUGGCCAACAAGGCUUUGUGUUAGUAAGGCUGGAACAUGACCUUUAAGCACAGCUAUGGUUUUCCUGAACUUAAUCCUCUGGAUCUUCAGAGCAGAGAAAGUGUGAGUUUCCUUUAUUCAACUUCAGCUUUUCCUCAGGCUAAAAUUCCUAAAACAGAAAAUUCAAUGCAUGUAAGACGCGUUUUCCAAGUUUAUGGUCCACUCCACCAUCUGUCUUGUUUUGUUCACGUUUUUUGAAGUUGUUUGUUUUUGUAAUUAUCUAGAGUUGUGGUUGAUGUAUUUAAGAAUGUCAGACUAGUAGGAGCUUGAUCAGCCUUUUAGGAACCA